GGGAGUUAAAGCUGUAAUUGCUAAGAGCUUCGAGAGGAUUCAUCGCAGUAACUUGGUAGGAAUGGGUAUUGUGCCUCUAUGUUUUAAGGCUGGGGAGGAUGCAGAUACACUUGGAUUGACAGGUCAAGAGCGAUAUACCAUUGAUCUUCCUGAAAAUAUUAGUGAGAUCCGCCCUGGGCAAGACGUUACUGUACAAACAGAUACUGGAAAAUCCUUCACCUGCGUAGUGCGGUUCGACACUGAGGUGGAGUUGGCUUAUUUCAACCAUGGAGGUAUUCUUCAAUAUGUCAUUCGUCAAUUGACAAAGCAAUGAGGAUCGCUAUGAUUAUUUGGCCACGUUUACAAAGCUGCCCGCUUAAUUGUGGGAAGAUGACAGAGCGUAAAGAGAGAGAUCUUCUUCUCAAUAGAGCAACUUGAGAAGGGAAUAAAUGAUUUUAAAACUUUUUUAUGUCCCUUUUGUUGGACAAAGUGUUGUUUAUUUACUUCUAAAGGCACUGUCAAGCUAGUCUUUUUCCUGCGGAUAGCAUUAUACCAUUUUUUUUGGUAAUAAAAUUUAAAUUGAGA
Molecule: unclassified non-coding RNA, 564 nt
Filed under: Hevea brasiliensis (rubber tree)
Lineage: Eukaryota; Viridiplantae; Streptophyta; Magnoliopsida; Malpighiales; Euphorbiaceae
Source: RNAcentral